UAUGUGAUCGUCUCUCGCAUAUCAAUAAGCGGAGGAAAAGAAACUCAACAAGGAUUCCCCUAGUAACGGCGAGUGAGGCGGGAAGAGCUCAAAUUUGAAAUCUUAAAGGGUUUCCCUUUACGAAUUGUAGUUUAAAGAAGUGUUUUCUGUUGAGGUUUUGGUAAAAGUUCUUUGGAAUAGGACAUCAUAGAGGGUGAGAAUCCCGUAUUUGACCUUUACUUUCAACUUUGUGAUACACUUUCAAAGAGUCGGAUUGUUUGGGAAUGCAGUCCAAAAUGGGUGGUAAAUUUCAUCUAAAGCUAAAUAUUGGCGAGAGACCGAUAGCGAACAAGUACCGUGAGGGAAAGAUGAAAAGAACUUUGAAAAGAGAGUUAAACAGUACGUGAAAUUGUCAAAAGGGAAGCGUUUGACACCAGUGUUGUUUUUCUGAAAAUCAAUUAAAGAACUGUUUAUGCUAAGUUGUUUAGACUUUAUCAGCUAUCUGCUUAGUUUUGAGCUUUUCUUUAAUGCACUUUUCAGUUAACAAGUCAACAUCAAUUUCUUUUGCUGUAAAAAAGCUUGAGGAAGGUGGCUUGAGAUUCGUCUUAAGUGUUUAUAGCCUCUUGCCUAUGCAGUCGGAGAGAUUGAGGUCUGCAGCGUAGAUCCUUCGGGGCUAAAUGCAUUUGUGCUAAGUUAUAGCAUUUUAUAGACAACUUGUUGACUAUGAUUUGUCUUGUAGCUUACUCGCUUAUGUUAUUUUACCUACGCUUAGGAUGUUGACACACGCGCGUGCUCG
This 775-nucleotide ribosomal RNA is filed under the name uncultured Neocallimastigales. RNAcentral's name for it is "partial large subunit ribosomal RNA". It matches the Rfam family "Eukaryotic large subunit ribosomal RNA", at positions 24 to 643 of the family's 3401-position model. The record is from RNAcentral. Lineage: Eukaryota; Fungi; Neocallimastigomycota; Neocallimastigomycetes; Neocallimastigales.